GACCCAUUAGCUCAGUUGGUAGAGCACCUGACUUUUAAUCAGGGUGUCCGGCGUUCGAGUCGCCGAUGGGUCA
Molecule: transfer RNA, 73 nt
Organism: Caldisalinibacter kiritimatiensis
Lineage: Bacteria; Bacillati; Bacillota; Tissierellia; Tissierellales; Thermohalobacteraceae
Rfam family: tRNA
About the family: Transfer RNA (tRNA) molecules are approximately 80 nucleotides in length. Their secondary structure includes four short double-helical elements and three loops (D, anti-codon, and T loops).
Source: Rfam